UGGUUUGUAACUGAACACAGGAGGCAUCAACGAGCGUUUGAAGAUGGGGAAGACUCUCUGGAUGUGGCUGCUCACCCUGGCUGUUGUGACGCUCUUCUCUGCAUCAGAAGCUUCCAUAAAGCUUAUCUGCUGUCAGAAGAGCAAUUCUAAGAAGGUUCAUAACAUAAAGAAGUGUUUGGAACAGGUGAAACGAGUGGGUUGCGAAUACCAUGCCUUUUUGAUUAUAACCAAGAAAGGUGUUAAACGUUGUGUCAAGCC
This is a long non-coding RNA of Scomber japonicus (chub mackerel), 258 nucleotides long. RefSeq lists it as uncharacterized. Lineage: Eukaryota; Metazoa; Chordata; Actinopteri; Scombriformes; Scombridae. The record is from RefSeq and is a predicted model, not a curated record. The transcript is spliced from 3 exons.